RNAcentral lists this ribosomal RNA (3071 nucleotides) under Paratrichodorus minor. RNAcentral describes it as "SSU rRNA". The stretch from base 1 to 1751 matches the Rfam family "Eukaryotic small subunit ribosomal RNA". Lineage: Eukaryota; Metazoa; Nematoda; Enoplea; Triplonchida; Trichodoridae. The record is from RNAcentral.
CCAUGCAUGUCUAUGCACACGCCCUUGAUUGGUGAAGCCGCGAAAAGCUCAUUACAACAGCCAUAGUUUAUUGGAUCUUUACGUUCCUACAAGGAUAUCUGCGGUAAUUCUGGAGCUAAUACUUGCGAAAAACGGCGACCUUACGGAAGUCGUGCAUUUGUUAGACUAAACCAAUCGGUCCUUCGGGACCGUCAUUUGGUGAACUCUGAAUAACUCAGCUGAUCGCACAGUCUCGUACUGGCGACAAAUCCUUCAAGUGUCUGCCUUAUCAACUGUCGAUGGUAGUUUACACGACUACCAUGGUUGUAACGGGUAACGGAGAAUAAGGGUUCGACUCCGGAGAGGGAGCCUGAGAAACGGCUACCACAUCCAAGGAAGGCAGCAGGCGCGCAAAUUACCCACUCUCAGAACGAGGAGGUAGUGACGAAAAAUAACGAGGUGGCCCUCUUUGAGGUCCAUCAUCGGAAUGGGUACAAUUUAAAUCCUUUAACGAGGAUCUAUUGGAGGGCAAGUCUGGUGCCAGCAGCCGCGGUAAUUCCAGCUCCAAUAGCGUAUACUAAAGUUGUUGCGGUUAAAAAGCUCGUAGUUGGAUCUGCGCCAGGUGGAAGCGGUCGCCCGAUGGGUUGUUACUGCUUACCUCUGGCUAACCAUUCGGUUUUCCCUUGAUGCUCUUAAGUGAGUGUCCUGGGUGACCGGAACGUUUACUUUGAAAAAAUUAGAGUGCUCAAAGCAGGCAUUUCGCCCGAAUAUUCGUGCAUGGAAUAAUAAAAGAGGUCCUUGUAGCCUUUUAUUGGUUAUCGCUACGAGGAAAUGAUCGAAGGGGACAGACGGGGGCAUUUGUAUUGCGACGUUAGAGGUGAAAUUCUUGGAUCGUCGCAAGACAAACUACUGCGAAAGCUCGUGCCAAGAAUGUUUUCAUCAAUCAAGAACGAAAGUCUGAGGUUCGACGGCGAUCAGAUACCGCCCUAGUUCAGACCGUAAACGAUGCCAUCUGGCGAUCCGCCGGCGUUAUGUUUGACCCGGCGGGCAGCCACCGGUAAACCUUUAAGUUGGGUUCCGGGGGAAGUAUGGUUGCAAAGCUGAAACUUAAAGGAAUUGACGGAAGGGCACCACCAGGAGUGGAGCCUGCGGCUUAAUUUGACUCAACACGGGGAAACUCACCCGGCCCGGACACCGUAAGGAUUGACAGAUUGAGAGCUCUUUCUUGAUUCGGUGGGUGGUGGUGCAUGGCCGUUCUUAGUUGGUGGAGCGAUUUGUCUGGUUUAUUCCGAUAACGAACGAGACUCUAGCCUACUAAAUAGACACUGGUUCUUUGGACCGGUGAACUUCUUAGAGGGACAAGCGACGUUUAGUCGCACGAGAUUGAGCAAUAACAGGUCUGUGAUGCCCUUAGAUGUCCGGGGCUGCACGCGCGCUACACUGAAGGCAUCAUCAUGUUUCUUUUCCUACCCCGGAAGGGGCGGGUAACCCGAUGAAACGCCUUCGUGAUUGGGAUAGGGACUUGCAAUUAUUUCCCUUGAACGAGGAAUUCCUAGUAAGUGCGAGUCAUCAGCUCGCGCUGAUUACGUCCCUGCCCUUUGUACACACCGCCCGUCGCUACUACCGAUUGAGUGACUCCUAAAGGAGUUGGGACUGGCCCUGUGCGGCCGCAAGGUUGCGCAGGUUGCUGGAAACUUUUCCAAUGGGAUUUACUUAGAGGAAGUAAAAGUCGUAACAAGGUUUCCGUAGGUGAACCUGCGGAAGGAUCAUUACCUAUCGACUCACGUCGGUCCUUGGGCUGAGUCCGGCCCACUUGUGGAGAACUUCGCCCUGCGAGGGUCUCUGCCGGACGAGGCUAACGGGACCGCUCUCGUGGAAGAGCGGUGACCGAAACGUGUUCUUCACACCCGCAAGCACCGCCCGCUAGCCCGACUCUUCCUUGCUAGCAUGACUCCGCGGUGGUAACUUGCAUGACUGGUGGAGAGCUCGUGGAGGUUGCCGCGCCCGGCCCUUCGAGUGGAUGUGACCCACUCAUGUUUCUAAGGGCUGGACUUUCGCAUUGCGGUCUCUCCAAUGGGUGCUCUCGUGGGUACCUGUACUACUGUGUGGUCCUCGCGGUCCCCCCCUACCGCGCCAAUUCGGGACUCAGUAGUGAACCACCAGCUCUGGUCUGCCUUGUGGCGACGUAGCAUGACUCUAGUAGACACCCCUUGCAAGCUGCCCGCCUCAUGACUCUGGGUUGAGCCUCUCCGCGAGGCUGUAGCCCCCGAGGCCCGACUCUGCGCUUGCGAGGAAGGACUGCGCCCCGCUACGCCGGCAUGACUCUGGCGGACUAGAGAGAGGGACUGCCCGUCUCUUGCCUUAUGACUCUAGGACACUAUGUGUCUAGCAAUUGCCCGCCGGCCCGACUCUACUCGGGUUGCCCUUAGAAUCCGUUAGGCGCCCGCAAGCAUCGCCCGCUAGCCCGACUCUACCUUGCUAGCAUGACUCCGCGAUGUUCACUUGCAUGACUGGCCUAGUGGUUUCAAAGGGGUAACUCGUUUAGCCGGCAUGUUUCGCUUGCUAGACAUUUGUAUCCGCCCCAAGGCAAGUGGCAUGACUCUUUGCGUUCUUCUCUCUGGCCUGCCGCCCGUCGGUUCAGUGCGCCACAAGGUUCAGUGGCUGGUGGAAGGUUCAAUGAACUGCCCGUCGGAAGGUUUACCUUCCGGUACCCGUAAGCUAGUGUGACCACACUAGCGGAAGCGGCUUCGAGAUCCUGCCCUCGUGGCUGGGUUGCUCGGCCGCAGGUAGCUGAAAACUCUCGGCCCCGCUUCGAUCUUGCCGUUUCUCUUGACAAAACCACCCGCAAGCCCCCCCCGCUAGCCCGACUUUUCCCUGCUAGCAUGACUCCCCGGUGUUAACUUGCAUGUUUUUGGCCUAGUCGAGUCCCUGAGAGCGAAGCAUGACUUUACGAGAGCUGAAAGUUGCUUGCGGCCCGUUAUGGGCAGCCCAGUUUACCACGCCGACUCUAUGCAGGUCUCGCGUUUCUUUAAGCCGUGAGGGUAGUCACACCGCGCAGCCUGGCUGCCGGGGCGGUCGCCCACACUCCAUUU